RNAcentral lists this long non-coding RNA (5190 nucleotides) under Sus scrofa (pig). RNAcentral describes it as "lncRNA (ENSSSCG00050053648.1)". Lineage: Eukaryota; Metazoa; Chordata; Mammalia; Artiodactyla; Suidae. The record is from RNAcentral.
UUUUUUUUUUUUUUUUUUUUUUUGUCGUUUGUCUUUUUAGGGCCGCACUACUGGCAUGUGGAGGUUCCCAGACUAGGGGUCUAAUUGGAGCUGUAGCCGCUGGCCUACACCACAGCCACAGCAACACCAGAUCCGAGCCGCAUCUCCGACCUGCACCACAGGUCAUGGCAACACAGGAUCCUUAACCCAUUGAGCAAGGCCAGAGACGGAACCCGCAAUCUCAUGGUUCCUAGUUGGAUUUGUUUCCACUCUGCCACAAUGGGAACUCCCAUUUGUGGUCUUAUGAAUGAUGGCCAUUCUGACUGGUGUGAGGUGGUACCUCAUAGUAGUUUUGAUUUGUGUUUCUCUAAUAAUCAGUGAUGUUGAGCAUUUUUUGUUGUUUGUUUAUUUUGGAGAUUAAGCUCUUGUCAGCUGCAUUGUUUGAAACUAUUUUCUCCCAUUCUGUAAAUUGUCUUUUUGGUUUUUUUGUUUGUUUGUUUUUUAUGGUUUCCUUUGCUGCGCAAAAGCUUGUCACUUUGUUUAGGGGCCAUUGGUUUAUUUUUGCUUUUAUUUCUCUUGCCUUGGGAGACUGACCUAAGAAAACAUUUGAAAGGUUGAUGUCAGAGGACCAGCUCUGUUUUUACUGUCUUUCUGAUUUGGGGCAAGUUGCUAACCUCAAAAUUGUAGUAGCUACUUCUUUAUAGGCUGACAUAAGGAUUAUGUAGGAUAAUGCAUGUAAAGUACAUAGUAUACCCUAGAUAAGCACUGAUUAUUAUUAUUGAUAACUUUGCUCAAUUACAAUAAUAAUAGCACUUUUCAUGGGCUGGGAAUUCAGUCACAGCUGGGAAUCUGGUAAUAUCUUAAAUUGCUCAACAAACAAUAAAGAGACACCAAAAACCUAAGUUCCUUCUUGCAGAUCUCUGCUGAAAGACUUCCUCAUCUCCUUUCAGGGUACUUUCAGCAGUGCAAAUAUUGUGGUGUCUUCUCAGGCCAAAUUGACUUCCCUUUGCACUUAAAUUGCGUUUGUAGGGAACAGUUGAGAGCCCAUCAGGACUUUGAACUGGAGACUCCAGCAAGCCAGAAUCUCUGCAGUGAUUCACAGAAUAGAUUUCACUACAGAGAACAGCACUAAUUGACCAUAAUUUCAAUCCCCUUACUUCCUGUUCCUCACCUUUUCCCGAGAAGCUUCCAUUUGCAAUCAAACUCAGUUUUGUUUAGUAAUCAGAAAUCUUUUGUCAAAUAAAAGCAUAGGACCAUAUGGCUUCACAGGUGAAUUCUCUCAAACAUUUAAAGAAUUAAUUCCAGUCUUUAACAGACUCUUCCAAAAAAACUGAAGAAGGAACACUUCUAAGUUCAUUUUACGAGGCCAGCAUCACCCAGGUACUAAGGCUGAAGACACUAUAAGAAAGGAAAAUUACAGGCCAAUAUCCCUGAAUAACAUAGAUGAAAAAAUACUCAACAAAGUACCAGCAAAUUAGAUUCAAGGGCUUGUUAAAAGGAUCAUUCACCAUGAUCAAGUAGAGUUCCCCCUGGGAUGCAGGGAUGGUUCAAGAUACACAAAUCAAUAAAUCUGACACAUCGCAUUAACAGAACAAAGGGUGAAAAUUGUAUGAUCAUUUCAAUGGACGCCGAAAAAUCAUUUGACAGAAUUUAACAUUCUUUAGUGAUUAACAGCUCUCAGCAGAUGAGGUUUAGAAGAAAUGUUUCUCAACAUAGCGAAGGUCAUCUAUGAUAAGCCCACAGCUAACAUCAUAGUCAAUGGUGAAAGUUAAAACCUUCCCCUCCAAGGUCGGGAAUAGGACAAGGAUGCUCACUCUCACCAUUUCUACUCAGCAUAGUUCUUGAAGUCCUAGCCAUAGUAGUUAAGUGAGAAAAAGAACCAAAAGGCACCCAAAGUAGUAGAAAGAAGUAAAAAUAUCUCUGUUUGCAGAUGACAUGAUCUUACAUACAGGAAAUCCUAGGUUCCACUAAAAAUGUUAGAACUAAUAAAUGAAUUCAGUAAAGUUGCAGGAUACAAAAUCAGCAUACAUUAAUCAGUUGUGUUUCUGUGUACUCAAAAAGUAUCUGAAAGAGAUAUUGAAAAAGCAGUUAAACAAAAUACUUAGGGAUGCAGAUAACCAAGGAGAUGAAAGAUCUGUACGCCGAAAACUAUUGGACAUUGAUGAAGGGGAUUGAAGAGUAUACUAAUAAAUGGACAGCUGUUGUGUGCUCUCAGAUUCAAAGUAUUGAUAUUGUGAAAAUAUCCACACUGCCCACAAUGAUCUACACAUUUAGUGCAAUUCCUAUCAAAAUUCCAGCGGCGUUUUUCACAGAAAUGGGAAAAACUACCCUAAAUGUGUGUGGAACCACAGAAGAUCCUGACUAGCCAAAACAAUCCUGACAAAGACGAACAAAGCUGGAGGCCUCACACUUCCUGAUUUCAAGCUGUAUUCUAAAGUAUAGUAAAGAAAGCACUAUGGUACUGGUAUAAAAACAAGCACAUAGACCACUGGGGUGGACUAGAGUGUCCAGCCAUAAACACAUGCACAUGUAGUCAACUAAUUUUUUGACAAUGGCAACAAAAAGACACAGUGGGGAAAGGAUAGUCUCUUCAAUAAAUGACACUGGAAAAACUGGAUAUCCAUAUUCUCAAGAAUGAAAAUGGAUCCCUGUCUUAUACUACUUAUAAAAAUCAGCUCAAAAUGGGUCAAAGACUUAAAUAACAGGCCUGAGACCAUAAAACUCCUAGAAGAAAACAUAGGAAAAAGGAUUAUUGACAUUAGUCUUUGCAAUGAUUUCUUAAAUAAGACACCCGAAGCACAGGGAACAAAAGCUAAAAUGAGCAAGUGGGUCUAACUCAGACUAAAGGGCGUCUGUCCAGGAAAGGAAAUAAUUAAUUGAAAAUACAGCAGAAAUAAUGGGAGAAAAUACUGGCAAACCAUGUAUCUUUUAAGGGGUGGAUAUCCAACAUAUGUUUAAAAACUCAUAUGACUCAGCAAAAUAAGCAAAUAAUGCAAUUAAAAUGGACAAAGAACCUGAAUAGACGUUUUUCCAAAGAAGAGACAUAGAUGGCCAGUAGGUCUAUGAAAAGGUGCUCAGCACCACUCAUCAUCUCCAAAGUCCCAAUCAAACCCAUAAUAAGAUAGCACUUCAUACCUGUUAGGAUGGCUGUUAUCAAAAAGAUAAGAGAUAGCAAAUGUUUGCAAGGACGUGGAGAAAAGGGAAUCCUUGCAUACUGUUAAUGAGAAUGUAAAUUGGUAACACCAUUAUGGAAAACAGUUGUGGUGGUUCCUUAGAAAAUUAAAAAGUUAGCUACCACAUGAUCUGGCAAUUCCAUUCCUGAAUGUGUAUCUGAAGAAACUGAAAUCAGCAUCUUGAAGAGCUUCCUGCACAUCUGUGUUCAUUGAGGAAUUAUUCACAACAGAUAAGAUAUGGAGACAACCUAAGUGUCCUUCAGUGGCUGAGUGGAUAAGGAGAAUACUACCCAGCCAUAGAGAGAACAAAAUCCUGGCAUUUGUGACAAUAUGGAUGAAACUGGAGGGCAUUUUGCUAAGGGAGAUAAGCCAGGCACAGAAAGACAAAUACUGUAUGGUAUCCCUUAUAUGUGGAAGGAAAAAUUCACCUUCCUAGAAACAGAGAGUAGCAUGGUGGUUGCCACAGGCUGGGUUGGGGGCAGAAGGAGAAAAAAGGGGAUAUAGGUGAAAACACACUUGCUGUUAGAAGAAGGAUGAGUUCCAAGGACCCAGUGUAUAGCAUGGUGACUAUAGUUAGUAGUACCUUAGGUAUGUAUUAUGAACUUGAAAGUUGCUGAGCGUGGAUCUUAGCCUUCUCCCAACAACAACAAAAAGGUGGUUUAGGUGAAGUGAUGGAUAUUAAUUAUCCUGAUCCUGGGAAUCAUUCCACAGUGUACAUGUGUAUCAAAUCAUCACGUCAUACACUUAAAAUUAUCACAAUUAUCCUUGUCAGUUAUUCCUCAAUAAAGUCAAAAAUGAAGCAAAAAAAUCCCCAAACACUGUUAUGUUCUCCUUCCGACCAUUCUUGUGGAAUCGAGCAUUUCUACAGAUAUACCAGUGUUACGUGGAUCAGGUAUCUUCAAAGUAUGGUCUCGAGACCGGCAGCAUUAGCAUCACCUGGGAACGUGUCAGGAAUGUACAUUCUAGGGCUCCCCCACAACCUACCAGUUCAGAAACUCUGAGGUGGUUGGAGCUCAGCAGUUUGUGUUUUAACAAGCCCUUCUUGCGAUUCUGAUACUUGUUCAAGUUUGAGAACUCCUUUCAGCCUCAAAAAUAGGUCCCUCUGUAUCAUGGAGAUACUUUGGUGCUUGUUUUCAAGGACCCAGCUAUUGGGAUCAGAUGCAUGAUGUUUUUCUUGAUGGUCUUCUUGUCUUUAUUUUGUCAUAUCAUCUCUUAUUUUUCCUGUAGCGAGAGCAACAGGCUUUGAAUCCUUACAGCCAAAUCCAGCUGUCUUACUCUGCCUGAAUAUGUAUAAAUAUAUUUGACUUAUUUCCUUUUAUUACUCAUUAUUAAAAACUGUGAGGUUGAAAAUUUUAACUGAAUUUUCCCUUUAAAAUAAUUAACAGUAAUGUUCUGUUUCAUUCCCUAAUGUUUCUUUUCUGUGUGUGUGUGUGUGUGUGUGUGUGUGUGUGUGUGUGUCUCUCUUCAGGAAACAAAACAGUAUGUCUUUGUCAGCUUUAAUCCUGAGGUUGAAAAGUGAGACCUGGUUGUGGAUUUUGCAUGGUAUGUGUAUGACCGUAGUAAUGAUUGCUUCAAGUAUUAUGGCAUUAGUAACACCAAUGACAAAACUAAUACAUUAAAUAAGGCUACUAUGCUGUAUAACUUACAAAGCACUGUCACGUGCAUUUUCCUAUUUAAUGCUUACUCUUGCUAUAGGUACUGUUUUUGUUUUAAAAAUGGGGAAACAGGUUCAGAGGGUUACAUUUUCAUUGUUGAGCAUCAUGUGAGGUUUUUUUUGGGGGGGUUAUAGAUUUUAAGAAAACUUGUGAUUUUAAGAGAACCUUCUCUUGGAAUAACAAUAACAAGAGAGUUCCCGUUGUAGCUCAGUGGUAAUGAACUGGUCUAGGAACCAUGAGUAGUGGGUUUGAUCCCUGACUCCGCUCAGUGGGUUAAGGAUCCAGCAUUGCUGUGAGCUGAGGUAUGGGUCACAGACACAGCUUGGAUCUAGGGUUGCUGUGGCUGUGGUGUAGGCUGGCAGCUGGAGCUCUGAUUGGACCCC